RNAcentral lists this ribosomal RNA (649 nucleotides) under uncultured bacterium. Its description in RNAcentral is "bacterial SSU rRNA". It matches the Rfam family "Bacterial small subunit ribosomal RNA", at positions 746 to 1395 of the family's 1533-position model. The record is from RNAcentral.
CUGAGGAACGAAAGCAUGGGUAGCGAAGAGGAUUAGAUACCCUCGUAGUCCAUGCCGUAAACGAUGUGUGUUAGACGUUGGAAAUUUAUUUUCAGUGUCGCAGUGAAAGCGAUAAACACACCGCCUGGGGAGUACGACCGCAAGGUUAAAACUCAAAUGAAUUGGCGGGGACCCGCACAAGUAGUGGAGCAUGUGGUUUAAUUCGAAGAUACGCGCAGAACCUUACCAACACUUGACAUGUUCGACGCGACUUUAAGAGAUUAAAGUUUUCGGUUCGGCCGGACGAAACACAGGUGCUGCAUGGCUGUCGUCAGCUCGUGUCAUGAGAUGUUGGGUUAAGUCCCGCAACGAGCGCAACCCUCACUUUUAGUUGCCAUCAUUUAGUUGGGCACUCUGAAAGAACUGCCAGUGAUAAGCUGGAGGAAGGUGGGGAUGACGUCAAAUCAUCACGGCCCUUACGUCCUGGGCUACACACGUGCUACUAUGGUAGAGACAGAGGGCAGCCACCUGGCGACAGGGAGCGAAUCCUUAAACUCUAUCUCAGUACGGAUCGGAGUCUGCAACUCGACUCCGUGAAGCCGGAAUCGCUAGUAAUCGCGCAUCAGCCAUGGCGCGGUGAAUACGUUCCCGGGCCUUGUACACACCGCCC